Molecule: long non-coding RNA, 473 nt
Organism: Drosophila innubila
Lineage: Eukaryota; Metazoa; Arthropoda; Insecta; Diptera; Drosophilidae
Exons: 3
Source: RefSeq, a predicted model, not a curated record
GAAUUUUGUGCUUGGGUCUCAAAAUGCUGCAGUUGUUGCGAUUCGUGCUCCAUAUGGAAACGCGAUUUAAAUGCUGUUUAGAGUUUGAAAUAAUCUUUGAUAAUAUUAGAUGUCUUUGGCGCACGAUGUGGCAACUCCUCACAAUCUGGAAAACCUUGUUUUCAUAAAAUGACAGCAUUCAAUUAACAUAAGAAACAAAGGACUUGCACGGGGUGCAAGCACUUAAGAGUUUGUUAUGGAAAGACCAAUGAACAUGCUGAAGAACUCUGGCAUCUGUAAAGGAAUACUGAAGGUGUCUACAAGUAGCGAUUGAUAGAAAAAAUAAUAUAGCCGAAGAUUUUGUCAAACUUGAGCCAGCAAUUUGAUCACUUGGCUUAUAGCGUACGCAUCGCGACAGUUGGAGCAUUUUGAGAAGCAAACACUUAAAUCUUUGGAUUGUGUACUGAAUAAUUAAUUAAAUGUAAAUUACAUCA